Molecule: transfer RNA, 136 nt
Filed under: Moelleriella libera RCEF 2490
Lineage: Eukaryota; Fungi; Ascomycota; Sordariomycetes; Hypocreales; Clavicipitaceae
Description: Aschersonia aleyrodis RCEF 2490 tRNA
Rfam family: tRNA
About the family: Transfer RNA (tRNA) molecules are approximately 80 nucleotides in length. Their secondary structure includes four short double-helical elements and three loops (D, anti-codon, and T loops). Further hydrogen bonds mediate the characteristic L-shaped molecular structure. tRNAs have two regions of fundamental functional importance: the anti-codon, which is responsible for specific mRNA codon recognition, and the 3' end, to which the tRNAs corresponding amino acid is attached (by aminoacyl-tRNA synthetases). tRNAs cope with the degeneracy of the genetic code in two manners: having more than one tRNA (with a specific anti-codon) for a particular amino acid; and 'wobble' base-pairing, i.e. permitting non-standard base-pairing at the 3rd anti-codon position.
Source: Rfam by way of RNAcentral
GCCCCCGUGGCCUAAUGGUCAAGGCGUGAGCCUUCUAUGGAGAACAGCUUAAGAUUGCGGGGUAUGUUGUCCUGCGCUGUGCGUUUUACCGUGACCUAGAACUAACCUGUCCGCAGUUCGAGUCCCGCCGGGGGUU